RNAcentral lists this unclassified non-coding RNA (23 nucleotides) under Mus musculus (house mouse). Its description in RNAcentral is "oocyte_clustered_small_RNA4121". The record is from RNAcentral. Lineage: Eukaryota; Metazoa; Chordata; Mammalia; Rodentia; Muridae.
UACACUAUUACAAGCAUACAUCC